This 242-nucleotide long non-coding RNA is filed under the name Felis catus (domestic cat). RNAcentral's name for it is "lncRNA (ENSFCAG00000046992.1)". The record is from RNAcentral. Lineage: Eukaryota; Metazoa; Chordata; Mammalia; Carnivora; Felidae.
UCACACAGCCAUGAGGGAAGGCUAUUUUUAUGUUCCAAGCCAACACACUGGAGAGUUCUGGGAAUGCAGCAUGGAUCCAACUUCUUUGAGAGAGACUGAAAGGAGAAGAUAAGUGCUAGCUCUCAAGCUGAAAAUACCACAGAGAUCUCUGCUUCUCAGCAAGGUCUGUUUUCCAGGUAUUUUGUGAGAUAAUAAGAAGGGACACAAUCCAAUUAAGAAAAUAGACCAUCAAGUGGCAGAAA